CCUACGGGUGGCAGCAGUGAGGAAUAUUGGUCAAUGGUCGGGAGACUGAACCAGCCAAGCCGCGUGAGGGAGGAAGGUACAGAGUAUCGUAAACCUCUUUUGUCAGGGAACAAAGGCGGGGACGUGUCCCCGGAUGAGUGUACCUGAAGAAAAAGCAUCGGCUAACUCCGUGCCAGCAGCCGCGGUAAUACGGAGGAUGCGAGCGUUAUCCGGAUUUAUUGGGUUAAAGGGGUGCGCAGGGGGGCUGUUAAGUCAGCGGGCAAAGCCCGGGGCAAAACCCCGGACCGCCGUUGAAACUGGCAGUCUCGAGUUGGAGAGAAGUAUGCGGAAUGCGCGGUGUAGCGGUGAAAUGCAUAGAUAUCGCGCAGAACUCCGAUUGCGAAGGCAGCAUGCCGGCUCCACACUGACGCUGAGGCACGAAAGCGUGGGUAUCGAACAGGAUUAGAUACCCGAGUAGUC
RNAcentral lists this ribosomal RNA (459 nucleotides) under uncultured bacterium. RNAcentral's name for it is "partial 16S ribosomal RNA". It matches the Rfam family "Bacterial small subunit ribosomal RNA", at positions 338 to 795 of the family's 1533-position model. The record is from RNAcentral.